Small nuclear RNA from Aotus nancymaae (Ma's night monkey), 107 nucleotides. The record is from Ensembl. NCBI's taxonomy places the organism in Eukaryota, Metazoa, Chordata, Mammalia, Primates, Aotidae.
GUGCUCACUUUGGCAGCACAUAUACUGAAAUUGGAAUGAUGUAGAGAAAACUAGCAUGUCCCCUGUGCAAGGAUGACAUGCAAAUUCAUGAAGCAUUCCAUAUUAUU